GGCUAGAGUUUGAUCAUGGCUCAGGACGAACGCUGGCGGCGUGCCUAAUACAUGCAAGUCGAGCGAGCUUGCCUAGAUGAUUUUAGUGCUUGCACUAAAUGAAACUAGAUACAAGCGAGCGGCGGACGGGUGAGUAACACGUGGGUAACCUGCCCAAGAGACUGGGAUAACACCUGGAAACAGAUGCUAAUACCGGAUAACAACACUAGACGCAUGUCUAGAGUUUGAAAGAUGGUUCUGCUAUCACUCUUGGAUGGACCUGCGGUGCAUUAGCUAGUUGGUAAGGUAACGGCUUACCAAGGCAAUGAUGCAUAGCCGAGUUGAGAGACUGAUCGGCCACAUUGGGACUGAGACACGGCCCAAACUCCUACGGGAGGCAGCAGUAGGGAAUCUUCCACAAUGGACGAAAGUCUGAUGGAGCAACGCCGCGUGAGUGAAGAAGGGUUUCGGCUCGUAAAGCUCUGUUGGUAGUGAAGAAAGAUAGAGGUAGUAACUGGCCUUUAUUUGACGGUAAUUACUUAGAAAGUCACGGCUAACUACGUGCCAGCAGCCGCGGUAAUACGUAGGUGGCAAGCGUUGUCCGGAUUUAUUGGGCGUAAAGCGAGUGCAGGCGGUUCAAUAAGUCUGAUGUGAAAGCCUUCGGCUCAACCGGAGAAUUGCAUCAGAAACUGUUGAACUUGAGUGCAGAAGAGGAGAGUGGAACUCCAUGUGUAGCGGUGGAAUGCGUAGAUAUAUGGAAGAACACCAGUGGCGAAAGCGGCUCUCUGGUCUGUAACUGACGCUGAGGCUCGAAAGCAUGGGUAGCGAACAGGAUUAGAUACCCUGGUAGUCCAUGCCGUAAACGAUGAGUGCUAAGUGUUGGGAGGUUUC
Molecule: ribosomal RNA, 870 nt
Filed under: uncultured bacterium
Lineage: Bacteria
Description: bacterial SSU rRNA
Rfam family: Bacterial small subunit ribosomal RNA
Source: RNAcentral